GAUGACGAACGUAGCGAAAUGCGAUAAGUAAUGUGAAUUGCAGAAUUCAGUGAAUCAUCGAAUCUUUGAACGCACCUUGCACCCUUUGGCAUUCUGAAGGGUAUGCUCGUUUGAGUGUCAUUGUACUCUCACACUCCCGAUCUUUGCAUUGGGAGCAGUGGACUUGGGUUUGCUGCUUCACCGUCGCUUACCUCAAAUAGGUUAGUGCAACUCUUGGUUGGACAUAGUACGGCGUGAUAAGUGUUCUUCGCCGGUGCCUCGCAAAGAGGGUGGCCGAUCGGGAUGUUGUGCUCCAAACCGUCUUCGGACAAUCUCUGACGACUUGACCUCAAAUCGAGUAAGACUACCCGCUGAACUUAAGCAUAUCAAUAAGCGGAGGA
Molecule: unclassified non-coding RNA, 380 nt
Filed under: soil metagenome
Description: partial contains 5.8S ribosomal RNA, internal transcribed spacer 2, and large subunit ribosomal RNA
Rfam family: 5.8S ribosomal RNA (bases 1-120)
Source: RNAcentral